RNAcentral lists this ribosomal RNA (253 nucleotides) under uncultured bacterium. RNAcentral's name for it is "partial 16S ribosomal RNA". It matches the Rfam family "Bacterial small subunit ribosomal RNA", at positions 524 to 776 of the family's 1533-position model. The record is from RNAcentral.
UACGAAGGGGGCGAGCGUUGUUCGGAUUUACUGGGCGUAAAGGGCGCGCAGGCGGCCAUUCAAGUCAGGCGUGAAAGCCCCGGGCUUAACCUGGGAGGUGCGCUUGGGACUGGGUGGCUAGAGAUCGGGAGAGGAGAGUGGAAUUCCCAGUGUAGAGGUGAAAUUCGUAGAUAUUGGGAAGAACACCAGUGGCGAAGGCGGCUCUCUGGACAGAUACUGACGCUGAAGCGCGAAAGCGUGGGGAGCGAACAGG